GUGGGAUAUGGGGGGAUAUGGCGAUAUAUGGGGUGAUAUGGGGAUAUAUGGGGUGGGAUAUGGGGAUAUAUGGGGGAUAUGGGGUCAUUGGGGUGGGGCUAUAGGGGGAUAUGGGGAUAUAUGGGGUCAGUAGGGGGAUAUGGGGUUGGUAUAUGGGGAUAUAUGGGAUAUAUGGGGUGGGAUAUGGGGAUAUAUGGGGUGAUAUGGGGAUAUAUGGGGUAUAUAUGGGGUGAUAUAGGGAUAUAUGGGGAUAUAUGGGGUGGGAUAUGGGGAUAUAUGGGGUCAGUGGGGUGGGUAUAUGGGGUUAUAUGGGGAUAUGAGGGGGAUAUGGGGUUAUAUGGGGCAGAUAUGAGGAUAUAUGGGGUGAUAUGAGGUGGGAUAUGGGGAUAUAUGGGGAGAUAUGGGGAUAUAUGGGGAUAUAUGGGAUAUAUGGUGUGGGAUAUGGGGAUAUAUGGGGUGAUAUGGGGAUAUAUGGGGAUAUAUGGGAUAUAUGGGGUGGGAUAUGGGGAUAUAUGGGGUGGGGAGGAUAUAUGGGGUGGGAUAUGGGGAUAUAUGGGGGAUAUGGGGUCAUUGGGGUGGGGAUAUAGGGGGAUAUGGGGAUAUAUGGGGUCAGUAGGGGGAUAUGGGGUUGGUAUAUGGGGAUAUAUGGGGAUAUAUGGGGUAUAUGGGGAUAUAUGGGGUGGGAUAUGGGGAUAUAUGGGGUGGGAUAUGGGGAUAUAUGGGGUGAUAUGGGGUUAUAUGGGGGGAUAUGGGGUCAGUAAGGGGGUAUAUAGGGGGAUAUGGGGAUAUAUGGGGAUAUAUGGGGUGGGAUAUGGGGAUAUAUGGGGUCAAUGGGGAUAUAUGGGGUAUAUAUGGGGUGAUAUGGGGAUAUAUGGGGAUAUAUGGGGUGAUAUGGGGUCAAUGGGGGACGCACGGCCCUAAGGCAGAACUGUAGGGCCGAGUUCAACGACGCCAUCGUGGUGUCCAACAGGUCGGAUUAUGGGAUUAAAUGGGGUGAAUAUGGGAUUAAAUGGGGUUAAUAUGGGAUUAAAUGGGGUUAAUAUGGGAUUAAAUGGGGUUAAUAUGGGAUUAAAUGGGGUUAAUAUGGGAUUAAAUGGGGCUGGGACCCCAUAAUCUGGGGGUAAAUGGCCUUAAUCUGGGGCUGGGACCCCAUAAUCUGGGGUAUGGGAUCCGUAAUAUGGGAUUAAAUGGGGCUGGGACCCCAUAAUCUGGGGUAUGGGUUCGUAAUAUGGGAUUAAAUGGGGUUAAUAUGGGAUUAAAUGGGGUUAAUAUGGGAUUAAAUGGGGCUGGGACCCCAUAAUCUGGGGCUGGGACCCAUAAUUGGGGUCUGGGACCCCAUAAUCUGGGGUUAAAGGGGCUUAAUCUGGGGCUGGGACCCCAUAAUCUGGGGUAUGGGUCCGUAAUAUGGGAUUAAAUGGGAUUAAUAUGGGAUUAAAUGGGGCUGGGACCCCAUAAUCUGGGGCUGGGACCCCAUAAUCUGGGGUAUGGGUCCAUAAUCUGGGGUAUGGGGCCAUAAUCUGGGGUAUGGGGCCAUAAUAUGGGAUUAAAUGGGGUUAAUAUGGGAUUAAAUGGGGCUGGGACCCCAUAAUCUGGGGCUGGGACCCCAUAAUCUGGGGUUAAAGGGGCUUAAUAUGGGGCUGGGACCCCAUAAUCUGGGGUUAAAGGGGCAUAAUAUGGGGUUAAAUGGGCUUAAUAUGGGGCUGGGACCCCAUAAUCUGGGGNUUAAUAUGGGGCUGGGACCCCAUAAUCUGGGGUUAAAGGGGCAUAAUAUGGGGUUAAAUGGGCUUAAUAUGGGGCUGGGACCCCAUAAUCUGGGGCUGGGACCCCAUAAUCUGGGGGUAAAGGGUCUUAAUCUGGGGUUAAAUGGGCUUAAUCUGGGGCUGGGUCCCCAUAAUCUGGGGUAUGGGUCCGUAAUAUGGGA
Long non-coding RNA from Coturnix japonica (Japanese quail), 1921 nucleotides. NCBI's taxonomy places the organism in Eukaryota, Metazoa, Chordata, Aves, Galliformes, Phasianidae. The record is from Ensembl.